AGUGAACGCUGGCGGUAGGCCUAACACAUGCAAGUCGAACGGCAGCACAGUAAGAGCUUGCUCUUACGGGUGGCGAGUGGCGGACGGGUGAGGAAUACAUCGGAAUCUACUUUUUCGUGGGGGAUAACGUAGGGAAACUUACGCUAAUACCGCAUACGACCUACGGUUGAAAGCAGGGGAUCUUCGGACCUUGCGCGAUUGAAUGAGCCGAUGUCGGAUUAGCUAGUUGGCGGGGUAAAGGCCCACCAAGGCGACGAUCCGUAGCUGGUCUGAGAGGAUGAUCAGCCACACUGGAAGUGAGACAAGGUCCAGACUCCUACGGGAGGCAGCAGUGGGGAAUAUUGGACAAUGGGCGCAAGCCUGAUCCAGCCAUACCGCGUGGGUGAAGAAGGCCUUCGGGUUGUAAAGCCCUUUUGUUGGGAAAGAAAAGCAGCAGGUUAAUACCCCGCUGUUCUGACGGUACCCAAAGAAUAAGCACCGGCUAACUUCGUG
This 492-nucleotide ribosomal RNA is filed under the name uncultured bacterium. Its description in RNAcentral is "partial 16S ribosomal RNA". It matches the Rfam family "Bacterial small subunit ribosomal RNA", at positions 29 to 507 of the family's 1533-position model. The record is from RNAcentral.